GACGAACGCUGGCGGCGUGCUUAACACAUGCAAGUCGAACGGAAAGGCCCUGCUUUUGUGGUGUGCUCGAGUGGCGAACGGGUGAGUAACACGUGAGUAACCUGCCCUUGACUUUGGGAUAACUUCAGGAAACUGGGGCUAAUACCGGAUAGGAGCUCCUGCUGCAUGGUGGGGGUUGGAAAGUUUCGGCGGUUGGGGAUGGACUCGCGGCUUAUCAGCUUGUUGGUGGGGUAGUGGCUUACCAAGGCUUUGACGGGUAGCCGGCCUGAGAGGGUGACCGGCCACAUUGGGACUGAGAUACGGCACAGACUGCUACGGGAGGCAGCAGUGGGGAAUAUUGCACAAUGGGCGGAAGCCUGAUGCAGCAACGCCGCGUGCGGGAUGACGGCCUUCGGGUUGUAAACCGCUUUCGCCUGUGACGAAGCGUGAGUGACGGUAAUGGGUAAAGAAGCACCGGCUAACUACGUG
This 468-nucleotide ribosomal RNA is filed under the name uncultured bacterium. Its description in RNAcentral is "partial 16S ribosomal RNA". It matches the Rfam family "Bacterial small subunit ribosomal RNA", at positions 28 to 507 of the family's 1533-position model. The record is from RNAcentral.